GGAUGAACGCUAGCGGCAGGCUUAAUACAUGCAAGUCGUGGGGCAGCGCAGUGUAGCAAUACAUGGGCGGCGACCGGCAAACGGGUGCGGAACACGUACACAACCUUCCUUCAAAUGGGGAAUAGCCCAGGGAAACUUGGAUUAAUACCCCGUAACAUUAUGAAGUGGCAUCACUUUAUAAUUAUAGCUCCGGCGUUUGGAGAUGGGUGUGCGGCUGAUUAGGUAGUUGGCGGGGAACGGCCCACCAAGCCUUCGAUCAGUAACUGGUGUGAGAGCACGACCAGUCACAC
This 290-nucleotide ribosomal RNA is filed under the name uncultured bacterium. RNAcentral describes it as "partial 16S ribosomal RNA". It matches the Rfam family "Bacterial small subunit ribosomal RNA", at positions 27 to 313 of the family's 1533-position model. The record is from RNAcentral.